RNAcentral lists this ribosomal RNA (254 nucleotides) under uncultured bacterium. RNAcentral describes it as "partial 16S ribosomal RNA". It matches the Rfam family "Bacterial small subunit ribosomal RNA", at positions 524 to 776 of the family's 1533-position model. The record is from RNAcentral.
GACGUAGGGCGCGAGCGUUGUCCGGAUUUAUUGGGCGUAAAGAGCUCGUAGGCGGUUUCGUAAGUCGGGUGUGAAAACCCCAGGCUCAACCUGGAGACGCCACCCGAGACUGCGAUGACUAGAGUCCGGUAGGGGAGCGUGGAAUUCCUGGUGUAGCGGUGAAAUGCGCAGAUAUCAGGAGGAACACCAACGGCGAAGGCAGCGCUCUGGGCCGGAACUGACGCUGAGGAGCGAAAGCGUGGGGAUCAAACAGG